Molecule: long non-coding RNA, 212 nt
Organism: Contarinia nasturtii (swede midge)
Lineage: Eukaryota; Metazoa; Arthropoda; Insecta; Diptera; Cecidomyiidae
Exons: 3
Source: RefSeq, a predicted model, not a curated record
UGUUCAAUUAGAAGAAUUAUUAGAAGUUCGUCAUUCUGUAUUUAUAGUUGGAAAUGCUGGUACUGGAAAAACUCAAGUGUGGAGAACAUUGUUCAAGAGCUAUCAAAACGAUAAUAAGAAACCAAUAUAUAACGAUUUAAAUCCUAAGGCGGUCACAAACGACGAACUGUUUGGUAUUAUAAAUCCAGCCACUAGAGAGUGGAAAGAUGGCC